GAAAGUAGGUUGUUGAAAGAGGAAGAACUGCGAAAAGAGGAAGUCCAAACUCUGCAAGCUGAACUCGCUUGUAGACAAACAGAAGUUAAAGCAUUGAGUACCCAGGUAGAAGAAUUAAAAGAUGAGUUAGUAACUCAGAGACGUAAACAUGCCUCUAGUAUCAAGGAUCUCACCAAACAACUUCAGCAAGGCUACCGGCAUCUAGGGUGCAGAUACCCGAGAUGCGUCCUCUGACUUGGAAAUCGUUGCGACUUAACUCUUCACCUGGGUUUCAAGAAACAGACCCCAGAAAGUUAUAAAUUACCCAGACAUAACAAUUGACUGCUGAACUGGAUUCCAGAUUUCUUUCUUUUAAAAAGUCAUACAGUCAUUGGGUGUCUGUGCUAUAUGCUUGGGAUACAAAAAUAAAUAAGACACGUAUUUCAACCUCCUAUUCUCUACUAUUUCUCACGGCUUUAUUUGUGUUAAAAUAGGGUGAAAUAUAGUAAUAAGCUAAAAGGGACUUAGCAUUUACUUAAUACAAAUAUAUUCAGAUAUUUGCCAUAGAGUUUAGUUUGUUUUUAUAGAUGUAAUUGAAGGGAAAUUUGGAAGAAAUUUCUGGUACUGUAAGGAACUUCUAAAUCUUUCAAUACUUUAAAAAGUUAACUCCACUGUAAUUAAG
This 661-nucleotide long non-coding RNA is filed under the name Homo sapiens (human). RNAcentral describes it as "non-protein coding lnc-AFAP1L2-4:2". Lineage: Eukaryota; Metazoa; Chordata; Mammalia; Primates; Hominidae. The record is from RNAcentral.